AAAUACAACUCUCAGCAACGGAUAUCUUGGCUCUUGCAACGAUGAAGAACGCAGCGAAAUGCGAUACGUAGUGUGAAUUGCAGAAUUCCGUGAAUCAUCGAGUUUUUGAACGCAAGUUGCGCCCGAGGCUCGUCCGAGGGCAUUCCUGCCAGAGCGUCAUCG
This 162-nucleotide ribosomal RNA is filed under the name Physcomitrium magdalenae. Its description in RNAcentral is "Physcomitrella magdalenae 5.8S ribosomal RNA". It matches the Rfam family "5.8S ribosomal RNA". From Rfam's summary of the family: 5.8S ribosomal RNA (5.8S rRNA) is a component of the large subunit of the eukaryotic ribosome. Lineage: Eukaryota; Viridiplantae; Streptophyta; Bryopsida; Funariales; Funariaceae. The record is from RNAcentral.